Molecule: ribosomal RNA, 2904 nt
Filed under: Escherichia coli
Lineage: Bacteria; Pseudomonadati; Pseudomonadota; Gammaproteobacteria; Enterobacterales; Enterobacteriaceae
Description: bacterial LSU rRNA
Rfam family: Bacterial large subunit ribosomal RNA
Source: RNAcentral
UUAAGCGACUAAGCGUACACGGUGGAUGCCCUGGCAGUCAGAGGCGAUGAAGGACGUGCUAAUCUGCGAUAAGCGUCGGUAAGGUGAUAUGAACCGUUAUAACCGGCGAUUUCCGAAUGGGGAAACCCAGUGUGUUUCGACACACUAUCAUUAACUGAAUCCAUAGGUUAAUGAGGCGAACCGGGGGAACUGAAACAUCUAAGUACCCCGAGGAAAAGAAAUCAACCGAGAUUCCCCCAGUAGCGGCGAGCGAACGGGGAGCAGCCCAGAGCCUGAAUCAGUGUGUGUGUUAGUGGAAGCGUCUGGAAAGGCGCGCGAUACAGGGUGACAGCCCCGUACACAAAAAUGCACAUGCUGUGAGCUCGAUGAGUAGGGCGGGACACGUGGUAUCCUGUCUGAAUAUGGGGGGACCAUCCUCCAAGGCUAAAUACUCCUGACUGACCGAUAGUGAACCAGUACCGUGAGGGAAAGGCGAAAAGAACCCCGGCGAGGGGAGUGAAAAAGAACCUGAAACCGUGUACGUACAAGCAGUGGGAGCACGCUUCGGCGUGUGACUGCGUACCUUUUGUAUAAUGGGUCAGCGACUUAUAUUCUGUAGCAAGGUUAACCGAAUAGGGGAGCCGAAGGGAAACCGAGUCUUAACUGGGCGUUAAGUUGCAGGGUAUAGACCCGAAACCCGGUGAUCUAGCCAUGGGCAGGUUGAAGGUUGGGUAACACUAACUGGAGGACCGAACCGACUAAUGUUGAAAAAUUAGCGGAUGACUUGUGGCUGGGGGUGAAAGGCCAAUCAAACCGGGAGAUAGCUGGUUCUCCCCGAAAGCUAUUUAGGUAGCGCCUCGUGAAUUCAUCUCCGGGGGUAGAGCACUGUUUCGGCAAGGGGGUCAUCCCGACUUACCAACCCGAUGCAAACUGCGAAUACCGGAGAAUGUUAUCACGGGAGACACACGGCGGGUGCUAACGUCCGUCGUGAAGAGGGAAACAACCCAGACCGCCAGCUAAGGUCCCAAAGUCAUGGUUAAGUGGGAAACGAUGUGGGAAGGCCCAGACAGCCAGGAUGUUGGCUUAGAAGCAGCCAUCAUUUAAAGAAAGCGUAAUAGCUCACUGGUCGAGUCGGCCUGCGCGGAAGAUGUAACGGGGCUAAACCAUGCACCGAAGCUGCGGCAGCGACGCUUAUGCGUUGUUGGGUAGGGGAGCGUUCUGUAAGCCUGUGAAGGUGUGCUGUGAGGCAUGCUGGAGGUAUCAGAAGUGCGAAUGCUGACAUAAGUAACGAUAAAGCGGGUGAAAAGCCCGCUCGCCGGAAGACCAAGGGUUCCUGUCCAACGUUAAUCGGGGCAGGGUGAGUCGACCCCUAAGGCGAGGCCGAAAGGCGUAGUCGAUGGGAAACAGGUUAAUAUUCCUGUACUUGGUGUUACUGCGAAGGGGGGACGGAGAAGGCUAUGUUGGCCGGGCGACGGUUGUCCCGGUUUAAGCGUGUAGGCUGGUUUUCCAGGCAAAUCCGGAAAAUCAAGGCUGAGGCGUGAUGACGAGGCACUACGGUGCUGAAGCAACAAAUGCCCUGCUUCCAGGAAAAGCCUCUAAGCAUCAGGUAACAUCAAAUCGUACCCCAAACCGACACAGGUGGUCAGGUAGAGAAUACCAAGGCGCUUGAGAGAACUCGGGUGAAGGAACUAGGCAAAAUGGUGCCGUAACUUCGGGAGAAGGCACGCUGAUAUGUAGGUGAAGUCCCUCGCGGAUGGAGCUGAAAUCAGUCGAAGAUACCAGCUGGCUGCAACUGUUUAUUAAAAACACAGCACUGUGCAAACACGAAAGUGGACGUAUACGGUGUGACGCCUGCCCGGUGCCGGAAGGUUAAUUGAUGGGGUUAGCGGUAACGCGAAGCUCUUGAUCGAAGCCCCGGUAAACGGCGGCCGUAACUAUAACGGUCCUAAGGUAGCGAAAUUCCUUGUCGGGUAAGUUCCGACCUGCACGAAUGGCGUAAUGAUGGCCAGGCUGUCUCCACCCGAGACUCAGUGAAAUUGAACUCGCUGUGAAGAUGCAGUGUACCCGCGGCAAGACGGAAAGACCCCGUGAACCUUUACUAUAGCUUGACACUGAACAUUGAGCCUUGAUGUGUAGGAUAGGUGGGAGGCUUUGAAGUGUGGACGCCAGUCUGCAUGGAGCCGACCUUGAAAUACCACCCUUUAAUGUUUGAUGUUCUAACGUUGACCCGUAAUCCGGGUUGCGGACAGUGUCUGGUGGGUAGUUUGACUGGGGCGGUCUCCUCCUAAAGAGUAACGGAGGAGCACGAAGGUUGGCUAAUCCUGGUCGGACAUCAGGAGGUUAGUGCAAUGGCAUAAGCCAGCUUGACUGCGAGCGUGACGGCGCGAGCAGGUGCGAAAGCAGGUCAUAGUGAUCCGGUGGUUCUGAAUGGAAGGGCCAUCGCUCAACGGAUAAAAGGUACUCCGGGGAUAACAGGCUGAUACCGCCCAAGAGUUCAUAUCGACGGCGGUGUUUGGCACCUCGAUGUCGGCUCAUCACAUCCUGGGGCUGAAGUAGGUCCCAAGGGUAUGGCUGUUCGCCAUUUAAAGUGGUACGCGAGCUGGGUUUAGAACGUCGUGAGACAGUUCGGUCCCUAUCUGUCGUGGGCGCUGGAGAACUGAGGGGGGCUGCUCCUAGUACGAGAGGACCGGAGUGGACGCAUCACUGGUGUUCGGGUUGUCAUGCCAAUGGCACUGCCCGGUAGCUAAAUGCGGAAGAGAUAAGUGCUGAAAGCAUCUAAGCACGAAACUUGCCCCGAGAUGAGUUCUCCCUGACUCCUUGAGAGUCCUGAAGGAACGUUGAAGACGACGACGUUGAUAGGCCGGGUGUGUAAGCGCAGCGAUGCGUUGAGCUAACCGGUACUAAUGAACCGUGAGGCUUAACCUU